GGCUGGAAUUGCUUUGAGCAAGAAUUUUGUCAAGCUUGUAGCAUGGUACGACAACGAAUGGGGUUACAGUACACGAGUGGUGGACUUGAUUAUUCACAUGUCAUCAGUUCAGUAAAUGUGGCAGUUCACUCGUUGGUGGCGCUGCUGGUGAUGAUCCUGUUCUUCGUGGUUAGAUAAAAUAGCUUAGAAUAAAGUGUUCUCUCGGACCACAAACGCGCAGAUGUUUGAUGUACUUUGGGGCUAUACUCUUGUUUAGAUGUUCAACUGGAUAGUAAACCUGUUCACUUUCCGAGAAUGAGUCUUAGUAACUCUGGUAUAUGUGUUACUCUUGUUUCGUUCUGUUAUGAAUGUAUAAUAACUUUGAACCUUGUUUAGUAAUCUUGCUUCCCU
Molecule: unclassified non-coding RNA, 390 nt
Filed under: Hevea brasiliensis (rubber tree)
Lineage: Eukaryota; Viridiplantae; Streptophyta; Magnoliopsida; Malpighiales; Euphorbiaceae
Source: RNAcentral